RNAcentral lists this ribosomal RNA (220 nucleotides) under uncultured Actinomycetales bacterium. RNAcentral's name for it is "partial 16S ribosomal RNA". It matches the Rfam family "Bacterial small subunit ribosomal RNA", at positions 112 to 334 of the family's 1533-position model. The record is from RNAcentral. Lineage: Bacteria; Bacillati; Actinomycetota; Actinomycetes; Actinomycetales.
AACACGUGGGUAAUCUGCCCUGCACUCUGGGAUAAGCCUGGGAAACUGGGUCUAAUACUGGAUAUGACCUUUCUCCUUAUGGGGUUUGGUGGAAAGUUUUUCGGUGUAGGAUGAGCCCGCGGCCUAUCAGCUUGUUGGUGGGGUGAUGGCCUACCAAGGCGACGACGGGUAGCCGGCCUGAGAGGGUGAUCGGCCACAUUGGGACUGAGAUACGGCCCAG